UUUAAAUUGAGAGUUUGAUCCUGGCUCAGGACGAACGCUGGCGGCGUGCCUAACACAUGCAAGUCGAGCGGAGAAUGCGGAUAUGUUUACAUAGAAGUAUUCUUAGCGGCGGACGGGUGAGUAACACGUGGGUAACCUGCCUCAAAGUGGGGGAUAGCCUUCCGAAAGGAAGA
RNAcentral lists this ribosomal RNA (173 nucleotides) under Proteiniclasticum ruminis. RNAcentral's name for it is "16S rRNA. Bacterial SSU". It matches the Rfam family "Bacterial small subunit ribosomal RNA", at positions 1 to 162 of the family's 1533-position model. Lineage: Bacteria; Bacillati; Bacillota; Clostridia; Eubacteriales; Clostridiaceae. The record is from RNAcentral.